This 465-nucleotide ribosomal RNA is filed under the name uncultured Klebsiella sp. Its description in RNAcentral is "bacterial SSU rRNA". It matches the Rfam family "Bacterial small subunit ribosomal RNA", at positions 338 to 795 of the family's 1533-position model. Lineage: Bacteria; Pseudomonadati; Pseudomonadota; Gammaproteobacteria; Enterobacterales; Enterobacteriaceae. The record is from RNAcentral.
CCUACGGGUGGCAGCAGUGGGGAAUAUUGCACAAUGGGCGCAAGCCUGAUGCAGCCAUGCCGCGUGUGUGAAGAAGGCCUUCGGGUUGUCAAGCACUUUCAGCGGGGAGGAAGGCGGUGAGGUUAAUAACCUCAUCGAUUGACGUUACCCGCAGAAGAAGCACCGGCUAACUCCGUGCCAGCAGCCGCGGUAAUACGGAGGGUGCAAGCGUUAAUCGGAAUUACUGGGCGUAAAGCGCACGCAGGCGGUCUGUCAAGUCGGAUGUGAAAUCCCCGGGCUCAACCUGGGAACUGCAUUCGAAACUGGCAGGCUAGAGUCUUGUAGAGGGGGGUAGAAUUCCAGGUGUAGCGGUGAAAUGCGUAGAGAUCUGGAGGAAUACCGGUGGCGAAGGCGGCCCCCUGGACAAAGACUGACGCUCAUGUGCGAAAGCGUGGGGAGCAAACAGGAUUAGAUACCCGUGUAGUC